UUUCCUAUUAUUAUAUUGAUGAACCACUUUAGGCUUGUUACUUUUAUCUAGAGGAAUUUGUUCUUUAGCUUUUACAAAAAUGGUCUUGUUAGAAAUAUGUUUAGCAAAUUUUGAAUAACCUAAACCACUUUUAUCAUUUGAGUAUCUUUGACUACUAAGAACAUGUUCCAAUCUGAUUUGACCUUGUUCAUAUCUUUCAAUAACUCUCUUCAAUUGAACUAUUUG
RNAcentral lists this long non-coding RNA (225 nucleotides) under Lathyrus oleraceus (garden pea). RNAcentral describes it as "Pisum sativum (pea) long non-coding RNA (PSAT_LNC010610)". Lineage: Eukaryota; Viridiplantae; Streptophyta; Magnoliopsida; Fabales; Fabaceae. The record is from RNAcentral.